CAAUAAUAACUCGGUUAGUUUAACACGAAUAUUAAUUAAUAAAAAUUAAUCCAACAACGAUCUAUAUAUGAAACUAGUACCGUUAGAUAGAACUCGAAAAGUUAUGAGAAAUGGACUAUUCGAGCGUGUCAUUCGAACACCAGAGGAAGAAGAUAUCAUUAGAUUAUCACGAAAGGUAGACCGACCUGGGAUGCCCUUAUCCAAAGGUUGGGUGCUGUAGUAAACUCAGCUGGCUUAUCAUCAACACGUGUCGAAGAGAAACUCAUUUUCUCUUUUCUUCUUAUCUUCUUAUUUCUCUUUCUUUGUUUUCUUUCUUCGUCUCUUUCCCCUGUUCUUCUCUGCUCGUGAUUUCUGUGAGAAGAUUGUGUGUUUACGAGAUCAGAAACUUAAGGGAAAUCAACUGGUAUUACUGAUAAAUGAUGGAGAACAUGGUGUGGACGUUGAUCGUGAAGCAGAACAACUAGGGUUUGAAUCACAGAGAAUCAAAUUAGGGUUUGUGGACUCAUCUUCGAAGUUGUUUGGAGUUGAUUAAUAAGUUGAGAUGCUGAUAGUCAUAGAAUGAAAGGGUUGUUGAUUAAUUGAUGUUCGGAGGUUGUUUGGGGAAAAAUUGAUGAAGCUAGGGUUUGUAAGAAGAACUCAGAGGAUGAAUUGAUGAUGAAAUUGACGUUCUAGGAUGAUGAGUUGAAGUGGGUAAUGAGUGAAUUGAGGUUUUGGAGUAUUAUUACAGAUGAAUCUAAGUUUUAGAGGAUGAAAUCGGUGAUGGUGAUUGAAUUUAGCGUUCUUGAUGGAACAGAGUUUUGGGGUUCAUGGGUUUGUAUAUUUAGAUGGUGAUGAGAAAUUAAAAGAGGAAGAUCCCUGAAUCGAAUCAAGCUAAGGAAGAAUCUAAUUCAAUUGCAGUACUUAGAUUAUGUUGAGAUUGAAGUUGAAUGAUGGCUGGUGGUAUUGACCUGAGAUGAGUGAGGUAGAUUAUUGUUCAGCUGCAGUUAUGAGAAUUGUGUUGUAGUAGUGGUAUGAAGUUAAAAGUGAACUGGUGAAUAUGUUAUGGUUGAGUGGAUGUUAUUGUUGGGUGUUGUGUGGAUUGGAGAUAAUAGAGAUUGAGAUUUGGUUAUGUGUUGGUGUUGUUGAACUGGACGGUUAUAACUAAAAUGGAAGAAGGAAGUGUAGAUUUGAACUGGGUUAGAUUGUACUGCAGUUGAGCUGUAUUGCAGGAACUUAGAUUCUGUUACAGGGAAGAGUUGAGUUGUAGUGAAGUCAUGGAAGUUUUGAUGGAGGAAAUAAAAUGAGAUUUCAUGUGACAGAGUUAUAGAAAUGGAGGUUAGAUGUUUAUGUUGAGUUGAACCUCUUCAGUGAAAGCUUGCAACUAUCAUUGCAGGUAAUCAGAGUUGUUAAUUGUUGAUGAAACUACAAAGGGAAUGAGGAAACUGGUGCAAGCCUGGAAUCAGGUUGGUAGUAAAGAUGAAGUUGUUUUGAUUAAAUGGAACGUUUAAUGAUUGUAUGAA
Molecule: long non-coding RNA, 1499 nt
Organism: Papaver somniferum (opium poppy)
Lineage: Eukaryota; Viridiplantae; Streptophyta; Magnoliopsida; Ranunculales; Papaveraceae
Exons: 2
Source: RefSeq, a predicted model, not a curated record